UACGUAGGCAGCAAGCGUUGUUCGGAAUUACUGGGCGUAAAGGGUGCGUAGGCGGUUGGCUAAGUUUGGUGUGAAAUCUCCCGGCUUAACUGGGAGGGUGCGCCGAAAACUGGCUGGCUAGAGUGUGGGAGAGGGAAGUGGAAUUCCUGGUGUAGCGGUGAAAUGCGUAGAUAUCAGGAGGAACACCUGAGGUGUAGACGGCUUCCUGGACCAUUACUGACGCUGAGGCACGAAAGCGUGGGGAGCAAACAGG
RNAcentral lists this ribosomal RNA (253 nucleotides) under uncultured bacterium. RNAcentral's name for it is "partial 16S ribosomal RNA". It matches the Rfam family "Bacterial small subunit ribosomal RNA", at positions 524 to 776 of the family's 1533-position model. The record is from RNAcentral.